This 468-nucleotide ribosomal RNA is filed under the name uncultured bacterium. Its description in RNAcentral is "partial 16S ribosomal RNA". It matches the Rfam family "Bacterial small subunit ribosomal RNA", at positions 28 to 507 of the family's 1533-position model. The record is from RNAcentral.
GACGAACGCUGGCGGCGUGCUUAACACAUGCAAGUCGAACGGAAAGGCCCUGCUUUUGUGGGGUUCUCGAGUGGCGAACGGGUGAGUAACACGUGAGUAACCUGCCCUUGACUUUGGGAUAACUUCAGGAAACUGGGGCUAAUACCGGCUAGGAGCUCCUGCUGCAUGGUGGGGGUUGGAAAGUUUCGGCGGUUGGGGAUGGACUCGCGGCUUAUCAGCUUGUUGGUGGGGUAGUGGCUUACCAAGGCUUUGACGGGUAGCCGGCCUGAGAGGGUGACCGGCCACAUUGGGACUGAGAUACGGCCCAGACUCCUACGGGAGGCAGCAGUGGGGAAUAUUGCACAAUGGGCGGAAGCCUGAUGCAGCAACGCCGCGUGCGGGAUGACGGCCUUCGGGUUGUAAACCGCUUUCGCCUGUGACGAAGCGUGAGUGACGGUAAUGGGUAAAGAAGCACCGGCUAACUACGUG